This 992-nucleotide long non-coding RNA is filed under the name Malus domestica (apple). RNAcentral describes it as "long non-coding RNA (MDOM_LNC012146)". Lineage: Eukaryota; Viridiplantae; Streptophyta; Magnoliopsida; Rosales; Rosaceae. The record is from RNAcentral.
GGAGUUAAAAUAACCGUUAAAUCAUGAUUUUUCUUUUUAUAACCGUCGAAAGGUUUUGUCCCGUUACUUGAUCUCUAUAUGUUUGUUUUUGCAAUUUUUGGUGUAUGCGAUCUCAAAGUAUAUGCAAUCAUGUUUGACGAUUGGAUCGUUGAAACUAGUUUCCUAGAAUGCGUAUCCCAUCAAAACAAUAGAAUCACUAACAUUUAAGAGUUUAUUCAUAAUUUCAUUAAGUAUAAUAUAAGAUUUUGUGGUAUCCACUAGUGUAAAUAUUUUAAACUGAAGAUCGAAUUCAUUCAUUGUAUUCAUAUAGGGUCAAGGAGUGUAGCUAUAAAGAAUCAUCAAAAUCGGAGUUAAAAUAGCCGUUAAAUCGUGAUUUUUCUUUUUAUAACCCUCGAAAAGUUUUGUCCCGUUACUUGAUCUUUGAAUGUUUGUUUUUUGCAAUUUUUGGCUUAUACGAUCUUGAAAAAUAUACAAACAUGUUUGACGGUUGGAUAGUUGAAACUAGUUUCGUAGAAUGCGUAUCCCAUCAAAACAAUAGAUUCACUAACACUUAAAAGUUUAUUCAUACUAUCAUUAAGUAUAACAUAAGAUUUUGUGGUAUCCACUAGUGUAAAUAUUUUAAAUUGAAGAUCGAAUUCAUUCAUUGUAUUCAUGCAGGGUCAAUGAGUGUAGCUAUAAAAAAUCAUCAAAAUCGAAGUUAAAAUAACCGUUAAAUUGUGAUUUUUCUUUUUAUAACCCUCGAAAAGUUUUGUCCCGUUACUUGAUCUCUAUAUGUUUGUUUUUUUCAAUUUUUGGCAUAUGUGAUCUCGAAGUAUAUACAAACAUAUUUGAUGGUUGGAUCAUUGGAUCGUUGAAACUAGUUUCGUAGAAUGCGUAUCCCAUGAAAACAAUAGAUUCACUAACACUUAAGAGUUUAUUCAUAAUUUCAUUAAGUAUAACAUAAGAUUUUGUGGUAUCCACUAGUGUAAAUAUUUUAAAUUGAAGAUCGAAUU